GAUGAACGCUGGCUACAGGCUUAACACAUGCAGGUCGAGGGGAAACGACGGGGAAGCUUGCUUCCCCGGGCGUCGACCGGCGCACGGGUGAGUAACGCGUAUCCAACCUGCCUCUGACUGAGGGAUAACCCGUCGAAAGUCGGCCUAAUACCUCAUGGCAUCGUCUGCGGGCAUCCAACGACGAUUAAAGAUUUCAUCGGUCAGGGAUGGGGAUGCGUCUGAUUAGCUUGUUGGCGGGGUAACGGCCCACCAAGGCUACGAUCAGUAGGGGUUCUGAGAGGAAGGUCCCCCACAUUGGAACUGAGACACGGUCCAAACUCCUACGGGAGGCAGCAGUGAGGAAUAUUGGUCAAUGGGCGGGAGCCUGAACCAGCCAAGUAGCGUGCAGGAUGACGGCCCUAUGGGUUGUAAACUGCUUUUAUGCGGGGAUAAAGUGAGGGACGUGUCCUUCAUUGCAGGUACCGCAUGAAUAAGGACCGGCUAAUUCCGUG
RNAcentral lists this ribosomal RNA (491 nucleotides) under uncultured bacterium. Its description in RNAcentral is "partial 16S ribosomal RNA". It matches the Rfam family "Bacterial small subunit ribosomal RNA", at positions 28 to 507 of the family's 1533-position model. The record is from RNAcentral.